RNAcentral lists this ribosomal RNA (713 nucleotides) under uncultured Bacteroidales bacterium. RNAcentral's name for it is "bacterial SSU rRNA". It matches the Rfam family "Bacterial small subunit ribosomal RNA", at positions 38 to 740 of the family's 1533-position model. Lineage: Bacteria; Pseudomonadati; Bacteroidota; Bacteroidia; Bacteroidales. The record is from RNAcentral.
AGCUACAGGCUUAACACAUGCAAGUCGAGGGGCAGCAUGGUCUUAGCUUGCUAAGGCCGAUGGCGACCGGCGCACGGGUGAGUAACACGUAUCCAACCUGCCGUCUACUCUUGGACAGCCUUCUGAAAGGAAGAUUAAUACAAGAUGGCAUCAUGAGUCCGCAUGUUCACAUGAUUAAAGGUAUUCCGGUAGACGAUGGGGAUGCGUUCCAUUAGAUAGUAGGCGGGGUAACGGCCCACCUAGUCUUCGAUGGAUAGGGGUUCUGAGAGGAAGGUCCCCCACAUUGGAACUGAGACACGGUCCAAACUCCUACGGGAGGCAGCAGUGAGGAAUAUUGGUCAAUGGGCGAGAGCCUGAACCAGCCAAGUAGCGUGAAGGAUGACUGCCCUAUGGGUUGUAAACUUCUUUUAUAAAGGAAUAAAGUCGGGUAUGGAUACCCGUUUGCAUGUACUUUAUGAAUAAGGAUCGGCUAACUCCGUGCCAGCAGCCGCGGUAAUACGGAGGAUCCGAGCGUUAUCCGGAUUUAUUGGGUUUAAAGGGAGCGUAGAUGGAUGUUUAAGUCAGUUGUGAAAGUUUGCGGCUCAACCGUAAAAUUGCAGUUGAUACUGGAUAUCUUGAGUGCAGUUGAGGCAGGCGGAAUUCGUGGUGUAGCGGUGAAAUGCUUAGAUAUCACGAAGAACUCCGAUUGCGAAGGCAGCCUGCUAAGCUGCAAC